ACUAUUUGGCUUGGUUAAUACAAGUUUCUAAAAUUUUUUAUAUUUGAAAACAACUUAGAACUUAAGGCCUGUUUGGUCCUUGUUUUCAAGAAUUGUUUUCUGUUCUUGAAAAACUGUUCUUGAAAACAAAAAACACAAAAAACUUGUUUGGGGAAGAGGGUGUGUUUUUGUUUUUUGUGUUUUCUGUGUUCUCAAAAACCACUUUUUUUAGAACAAUAAAAAGAUGUUUUCAUUGUUUUUUCACUGUUCAAAGAAUAAAUUGUUUUUC
This 268-nucleotide long non-coding RNA is filed under the name Vitis vinifera (wine grape). RNAcentral's name for it is "long non-coding RNA (VVIN_LNC008262)". The record is from RNAcentral. Lineage: Eukaryota; Viridiplantae; Streptophyta; Magnoliopsida; Vitales; Vitaceae.